Molecule: long non-coding RNA, 1103 nt
Filed under: Canis lupus familiaris (dog)
Lineage: Eukaryota; Metazoa; Chordata; Mammalia; Carnivora; Canidae
Description: lncRNA (ENSCAFG00000052314.1)
Source: RNAcentral
GGGAUAGCAGUUCAUCCUUGUGGGUUGUGAAACAAGGCGGCUGGCGUACGUAUGGGCUCUGCUAGAAUAAUGUCCCCUGCCACCAGCCGGCCUGUUGGGCGCUGGAGGGUCAACAGUGAGUGCCUGCCCCACCCCUGCUGUGUAGCUGAUGCAAACCCAGUGGGACAUAGUGCAGUGUCUCCUAAGCCUGCGAUAGAAGUGCCACCCAGCUAGUAGCAUCCAGUGCCUUGCUUAACUGUUCUUCAGCUCAUUCAGCUAAUACGGGCCUGCUGUGUUCUGGGUACUAAAAGAGCAGGGAGAAAAGGCUAGGGAAAGGGACUGACGGUUGGCAGUCGUGUGGCAGAGGUCCUGAACGUUUUAAUUUGAGCCAUAAAGUAAAUGUGACCUUGUAAGUUGUGGGUAGUAAGACCAAGGUGGCUCAGCGUCUUUAGAGAGGUGGAUAUUGGUGUAUUUACUUAUAUGCGUUUAUUAAAUAAUAAGGUGUCCAUCCCAUGGCUGGGCCUUUUUUCUCUUUAAAAGAGAGGUUACAGGUGCCUGGGUGGCUCAGUGGUUGAGUGUCUGUCUUCGGCUCAGGUUGUGAACCUGGGGUCCUGGGAUGGAGUCCCACAUCGGGCUCCCCACAGGGAGCCUGCUUCUCCCUCUGCCUGUGUCUCUGCCUCUCUUUGUGUCCCUCAUGAAUAAAUACAUAAAAUCUUUAAAAGCCAAUACAUACAUACAUAAAAGAGAUUAUGGCACUUGGGUCUGGCAUCUGCCUUGGGCUCAGGCUGUGAUCCUUGAGCCCCGGGAUCCAGCCUCGCAGCAGGCGUCCCACUCCGCAGGGAGUCUGCUCCUCCCCCUGCCCCUCCCCCUCUCCGCGCUGUCUCUCAAUCUUUAAAAAAAUAAGAGAGGUUACCAUUUAAAAGUUGUCCAUAAAGACUCUUAAGAACCUGGUCAUACAGAACAUGGAAGACUCCUAACUCUGGGAAACGAACUAGCGGUGGUGGAAGGGGAAGUGGGCGGGGGGUGGGGGUGUCUGGGUGAUGGGCACUGAGGGGGGCACUUGACAGGAUGAGCACUGGGCGUUAUUCUGUAUGUUGACAAAUUGAACACCAAUAAAAAAUAAA